UACGUAGGUGGCAAGCGUUGUCCGGAUUUACUGGGUGUAAAGGGCGCGUAGGCGGGAUAGCAAGUCAGAUGUGAAAUCUAUGGGCUUAACCCAUAAACUGCAUUUGAAACUGUUAUUCUUGAGUAUCGGAGAGGCAGGCGGAAUUCCUAGUGUAGCGGUGAAAUGCGUAGAUAUUAGGAGGAACACCAGUGGCGAAGGCGGCCUGCUGGACGACAACUGACGCUGAGGCGCGAAAGCGUGGGGAGCAAAC
This 250-nucleotide ribosomal RNA is filed under the name uncultured prokaryote. RNAcentral's name for it is "partial 16S ribosomal RNA". It matches the Rfam family "Bacterial small subunit ribosomal RNA", at positions 524 to 773 of the family's 1533-position model. The record is from RNAcentral.